RNAcentral lists this transfer RNA (77 nucleotides) under Parasphingorhabdus halotolerans. RNAcentral describes it as "Sphingorhabdus sp. JK6 tRNA-Arg". It matches the Rfam family "tRNA". From Rfam's summary of the family: Transfer RNA (tRNA) molecules are approximately 80 nucleotides in length. Their secondary structure includes four short double-helical elements and three loops (D, anti-codon, and T loops). Lineage: Bacteria; Pseudomonadati; Pseudomonadota; Alphaproteobacteria; Sphingomonadales; Sphingorhabdaceae. The record is from RNAcentral.
GCGCCCGUAGCUCAGUCGGAUAGAGCAUCAGAUUCCUAAUCUGGAGGCCACAGGUUCGAAUCCUGUCGGGCGCACCA